UCCUAGGGAAAAGUUGAAGAAUCAAAAGAGAAGUCUCUCCACAAAGGGUAUAGUAUUAUGUAGGCUGAGAGGUUGUUCUUCUGUAACCUCUCAAGCCGAUCUCUUGAAUGCAAGUGAUCACUCUACACCAGCUCUAGCCGAGCUUCCGACCUCCUGUAACUCUGCAGCAGGUCUUGCCGUGCUUUCGACCUCCUGUAACUCUGCAGCAACUCUUGCCGAGCUCGCCGACCUCCUGUAACUCUGCAGCAAAUCUUGCCGAGCUCUCUGACCUGGUGUAAUUCUGCAGUAGAUCAGCUUUAACGAGUGUGAGCACUCUUCUUCUAGAAGUGCGAACACAAUUGCCGGACUGCCGAGCUCCUGUGAUUCACUCCUACCAAACUUACGAGAAUGUGGCAAUUAUUCUGUGCAGAGUGCACACUUUGUUUUUGAAAAAUAAUUAGCCGCACACUAUUUCGGCUUUUCAUUCUUAUUUAUACUGAAUCAAAUCAAC
Molecule: long non-coding RNA, 490 nt
Filed under: Manihot esculenta (cassava)
Lineage: Eukaryota; Viridiplantae; Streptophyta; Magnoliopsida; Malpighiales; Euphorbiaceae
Description: long non-coding RNA (MESC_LNC012209)
Source: RNAcentral